CCUACGGGAGGCAGCAGUGGGGAAUAUUGGACAAUGGGCGCAAGCCUGAUCCAGCAAUGCCGCGUGAGUGAUGAAGGCCUUAGGGUUGUAAAGCUCUUUUACCAGGGAUGAUAAUGACAGUACCUGGAGAAUAAGCUCCGGCUAACUCCGUGCCAGCAGCCGCGGUAAUACGGAGGGAGCUAGCGUUGUUCGGAAUUACUGGGCGUAAAGCGUACGUAGGCGGUUAUUCAAGUCAGAGGUGAAAGCCCGGGGCUCAACCCCGGAACUGCCUUUGAAACUAGGUAGCUAGAAUCUUGGAGAGGUCAGUGGAAUUCCGAGUGUAGAGGUGAAAUUCGUAGAUAUUCGGAAGAACACCAGUGGCGAAGGCGACUGACUGGACAAGUAUUGACGCUGAGGUACGAAAGCGUGGGGAGCAAACAGGAUUAGAUACCCUGGUAGUCCACGCCGUAAACGAUGAUAACUAGCUGUCCGGUCACUUGGUGACUGGGUGGCGCAGCUAACGCAUUAAGUUAUCCGCCUGGGGAGUACGGUCGCAAGNUUAAAACUCAAAUGAAUUGACGG
Molecule: ribosomal RNA, 561 nt
Filed under: uncultured bacterium
Lineage: Bacteria
Description: bacterial SSU rRNA
Rfam family: Bacterial small subunit ribosomal RNA
Source: RNAcentral